Molecule: ribosomal RNA, 155 nt
Filed under: uncultured bacterium
Lineage: Bacteria
Description: partial 16S rRNA
Rfam family: Bacterial small subunit ribosomal RNA
Source: RNAcentral
UAGGGAAUAUUGGGCAAUGGAGGCAACUCUGACCCAGCCACGCCGCGUGGAGGAUGAAGGUGCUAUGCAUCGUAAACUUCUUUUGUCAAGGGAGAAAGUGCUUGAUUAAUCAGGUUUUGACGGUACUUGGCGAAUAAGCAUCGGCUAACUACGUG